This 282-nucleotide ribosomal RNA is filed under the name uncultured Nitrososphaerota archaeon. RNAcentral's name for it is "uncultured thaumarchaeote partial 16S ribosomal RNA". It matches the Rfam family "Archaeal small subunit ribosomal RNA", at positions 338 to 618 of the family's 1478-position model. Lineage: Archaea; Thermoproteati; Nitrososphaerota. The record is from RNAcentral.
GGCGAGAAAAACUUUGCAAUGUGCGAAAGCACGACAAGGUUAAUCCGAGUGGUUUCUGCUAAAAGGAACCUUUUGUCAGUCCUAGAAACACUGGUGAAUAAGGGGUGGGCAAGUUCUGGUGUCAGCCGCCGCGGUAAAACCAGCACCUCAAGUGGUCAGGAUGAUUAGUUGGGCCUAAAGCAUCCGUAGCCUGCUUUGUUAGUUUUCGGUUAAAUCCAUUUGCUCAACGAAUGGGCUGCCGGGAAUACUGCAAAGCUAGGGAGUGGGAGAGGUAGACGGUAC